GUAAGGCUCCCCACACCUCUCCACAAACUCAAAAAGUAAAGAAAGUGGAUUAAUAUAUACACCCAUACGUCCAUUCCUUUUCAAGGAAGAAGGACAGCUAUGAGUGAAACCGGUGCAAGAAAACUUGCAGUAAUGGUUAUAACGCUUAUCUUGCUUGAAGCAGCAGUCGCACAGGCUGAUACAGAUUGCAGUAGCAAAUGUGCGAGACAAUGCAGUCAUAGUCUCUUCCCCACUACUUGUCUCCAGGGUUGUUUCAAAAAAUGCAAACAUUCUUUCUCUGUUGCCCUCUUUGGCAUCGGCUGUACUUUUGGCUGCACAAAUUCAAAGUGCGCCCAUCUUGGCUCUGUGUGGCAGAUGUUGAUAAACUGGUUGGGUGCGUGGACUCAUGCUCCAAGAAAUGCAGCAGGAAUCCCUCUCCUUAGAAGUCCCAUAUGCACA
Molecule: long non-coding RNA, 438 nt
Organism: Vitis riparia (riverbank grape)
Lineage: Eukaryota; Viridiplantae; Streptophyta; Magnoliopsida; Vitales; Vitaceae
Exons: 3
Source: RefSeq, a predicted model, not a curated record